Meriones unguiculatus (Mongolian gerbil) is the source of this 1994-nucleotide long non-coding RNA. RefSeq lists it as uncharacterized. Lineage: Eukaryota; Metazoa; Chordata; Mammalia; Rodentia; Muridae. The record is from RefSeq and is a predicted model, not a curated record. The transcript has 4 exons.
UUGUAGAAAGAGCUGGACAGUUUCUCUCUCUGCCUAUGACUCAGGAUGUAGCUCUCCAUCUACUGCUCGAGCACCUGCCUGCAUUCGGCUGUGCUUCCUGCCGUGAUGAUAAUGGACUAGACCUCUGAAACUAUCCUCCAUGGGGGUUCCUGAACAGUGACUGCAGAAGCAUAUCUCUCCUGGAGGAUGGAGAAGCCUAGGACAAAACAAAUGUUUCUCUUGGUUUUAUGAACAUCCUGGAUCACCACUGUUCGUUCAUGAAAUUCAUAACAAAGAGGCAUACGAUUGUUAAACCCACAUGGAGAAGCAUGUAUGGAACAUGAAGGAUGGAUGAUUGGCAUUACACAGAUCCUGUGUGACUGGCCAUUCCAGGCGCUUGCUGCCUUGACCUCUCUACCCUGACCGUCUGUACCUAACACUGCAGUCUCACAGACAAAAAGGCAGCCACAGUGUUGACUGUUAACUACAAAGAGAUGUGACAAAUUUUGAAAGAGGAAAAAAAAAAUCACGUCUAGAUUUGAACAAGCUCUUCAGGAAUUAAUUUUGAAUUCCCCUGGGAGCCCCUGCGGAACUGAACGAAUGUUGCUGAGAAAUGUUCGCAUCACGUCUAUGAGCACACUUUGUUCUGGGAGUUGGGCAUGAGUGGGAGAGAUGCUCAUAAUACACACAGAUGCUCCAAGGAAGGGUAUGCAAGCUUUGAGGGCCAUCCCUCUAUUCACCUCACGCCUUCUGAGCUUAAAUGGUAUGUUAAGACACACGUUCCAGUUAAGAAUUUUAUUACUAUAUUGCUAUAGGAGACAGACCUGCAUCCGUUAUUCAUACUAUCUCGGUGACAAAAGACCUGAUGGAAGCAGCUUAAGGAAUGAAGGGUUUAUAGUGGAUACAGUCCAUCAUGAAGAAGGAAUGGCAGUGGGGGUGCUGUCAGGACUCCUCACAUCUCUAUGACCCAGGAAGCAGAAAGACUGGGGCCAGAAGUAAGUCCAGACUAUGACCUUCAGGGCCUGCCUCCAGUGAUCAAUUUCCUGUUAGCCAGCUCUCUCUCUCUCCUGUUUGUUUGUUUAGGUUUUUUGAGACAGGGUUUCUCUGUGUAUCCUUGGCUGUCCUUGCCUGUCCUGAGCUCUCUUUGUAGACCAGGCUGGCCUCAAACUCACAGCGAUCUGCCUGCCUCUGCCUUCCAGGGUGCUGGGAUUAAAGAUGUACACCACUAUGCCUGGCUCAGCCAGCUCUUGAAAAACUUUCAUAGUCUCCCCAAACAAUGUCAUCACAUUAGGGCCAAUUGUUCAAAUACAUGUGGGUGAUAUUUUUAUAUCAAAACCAUGACAAGAUACAUGACUCACUUUAUUGGCUUUUUUUUUCUUUUUUAUUGGCUCUUUGUGAAUUUCACAGCAUGCCCCCCAAUCCCACUCAUCUUUCCAUCCUUCCAUAUCUGCCCUCCACCCUUGAAACCUUCCCACAAAAAGAAAAUAAAAAAGAAAAAUAAACAAAAACAAAGCAAAAGCAUCUCACCAUGGAAGCUACAGCAUGUCAUGGUGUGUCACACAGAAUAACCUUUUGCCUAAAUAGUGUUCCUUGCAAAUGUUCAUUGCAAUGAGUCAUUGGUCUGGUUCGAGGCCUCUGGCUUCUGCUACACUUUCAAUACUGGAUCCUCCAGUAUUGGAGGACUCGUCUUGAAUAUCCUGUUAUUGCCCUUUGUCAUGGAGAUCCUGCAGCUUUGGAUUGGCAGGAUCCACCCCUUCAUGUGCUCCAGCAGUUCAUAGAUGGGUGGGCCCACUCAAAGACCUGGAUCUGGGCCUGGGUGGUAGCUGAGUUGGUCAGCUCGUCAGCUCUCCUGUCAGCCACCAGGGCCAGCUCUCCCACUUUGCCCAGACUAUUCAUUUUAUAGGAAACCUUUUCUGUACAUUUUGGUGACAUUUCAUUUUCUGUAAUUAUAACUAAGGCCAGAUAAUGAUGGCCUGUUACACAGCUACUAAAAAUAAAGUAUGCAAUCUUUUUUA